GGGUCGCUGUCAGAACCAGGUGAAGCGGCACCGCGUCGGACCAGAGAGGCUCAUGGGAAACGUGCGACUGUUCCAGCGAGGGCUGGCAGGUCACUGUCAGGUCCACUUCCUCCCCCUAGUGGUGGGGGUGAGAGACGACAGCCGUACGCAGCGACUGAGAUGUGUAGAGCGCUCAGACUUUGCCAGGUGUCCUCAGACCUUGGCCAUGACGUCCCCCAGUGUCCCCGUGUCGUCCUGUGAGCUCCACAAAAACACACGUCGCUGCACGCAACCGUCAAUCAACACACACCUCAGCUGCCGUCUGUACCAGACAUGUGACCAUGCCGUGCUGAUCACAGGUACACACACACACACACACACACACACACACACACACACACACACACACACACACACACACACACAGAGACAAAGGAAAGAUUUGUUCCUCUCACUGAGGUUCUGUUGGUUCUGCAGGUGGCUGGCAGCAGCAGAUGACUUUCCAGCGCCAGGCUUUGAACCUGCAGAGGUUCUACACCAUGCUGAGGAACAACGGCUUCCUCAGAGAGAACAUCCACACCUUCUUAGCAAGCAGCGCUCACCUUCCAGGUAAGAAUCACCAAAAACGUCUCUCUGCACAAGCUCCACCUCUGCUCACACACACACACACACACACACACACACACACACACACACACACACACACACACACACACACACACACACACACACACACACACACACACACACACACACACACACACACACACACACACACACACACACACACACACACACUUUCUCCUCAGAGAACGUCGACGGAGUGUUUCCAGCCACAGAGAAAAGCAGCAUCAGGAACCACGUGUCCUACGUGUGCAAGAAGCAGCUCUGUGCAGACUCCCUGGUCCUUUACCUCAACUCCCCCACACACACCGAUGGAAGCAUGCUGCUGUGGGACAGCAACCAGGACGGCAUGGUAAGACACACA
This 967-nucleotide long non-coding RNA is filed under the name Gouania willdenowi (blunt-snouted clingfish). RNAcentral's name for it is "lncRNA (ENSGWIG00000007267.1)". The record is from RNAcentral. Lineage: Eukaryota; Metazoa; Chordata; Actinopteri; Blenniiformes; Gobiesocidae.